This 497-nucleotide ribosomal RNA is filed under the name uncultured bacterium. Its description in RNAcentral is "partial 16S ribosomal RNA". It matches the Rfam family "Bacterial small subunit ribosomal RNA", at positions 28 to 507 of the family's 1533-position model. The record is from RNAcentral.
GAUGAACGCUGGCGGCGUGCCUAAUACAUGCAAGUCGAGCGAACAGAUGAGGAGCUUGCUCCUCUGACGUUAGCGGCGGACGGGUGAGUAACACGUGGAUAACCUACCUAUAAGACUGGGAUAACUUCGGGAAACCGGAGCUAAUACCGGAUAAUAUAUUGAACCGCAUGGUUCAAUAGUGAAAGACGGUUUUGCUGUCACUUCUAGAUGGAUCCGCGCCGCAUUAGCUAGUUGGUAAGGUAACGGCUUACCAAGGCAACGAUGCGUAGCCGACCUGAGAGGGUGAUCGGCCACACUGGAACGGAGACACGGUCCAGACUCCUACGGGAGGCAGCAGUAGGGAAUCUGACGCAAUGGGCGAAAGCCUGACGGAGCAACGCCGCGUGAGUGAUGAAGGUCUUCGGAUCGUAAAACUCGGUUAUUAGGGAAGAACAAAUGUGUAAGUAACUAUGCACGUCUUGACGGUACCUAAUCAGAAAGCCACGGCUAACUACGUG